GAUGAAGAACGUAGCGAAAUGCGAUAAGUAAUGCGAAUUGCAGAAUCCGUGAGUCAUCGAAUCUUUGAACGCACAUUGCGCCCUUUGGUAUUCCGAAGGGCAUGCCUGUUCGAGCGUCAUUAUCACCCCUCAAGCCCCGGCUUGGUGUUGGGCUCUCGGUGGUCGUCUCCGACCACCCGUCUCAAAGAUAGUGACGGCGUCCCAGAGGGAACCGGUACGAGGAGCUUUCACGAGCAUGUACGCGGGACGACUCUGCGGGCGACGGGCUUAUUUACUUUAUAUACAAGUGUUGACCUCGGAUCAGGUAGGAAUACCCGCUGAACUUAAGCAUAUCAAUAAGCGGAGGA
This 347-nucleotide unclassified non-coding RNA is filed under the name soil metagenome. Its description in RNAcentral is "partial contains 5.8S ribosomal RNA, internal transcribed spacer 2, and large subunit ribosomal RNA". The stretch from base 1 to 119 matches the Rfam family "5.8S ribosomal RNA", at positions 35 to 154 of the family's 154-position model. The record is from RNAcentral.